UUAGUACUCCCUCCGUCCCAAAAAUACUUGUCGGAGAAAUGGAUAGAAAUAGAUGUAUCUACAACUAAAAUACAUCUAGAUACAUCCAUUUGUCCGACAAAUAUUUCCGAACGGAGGGAAUACUAC
Triticum aestivum (bread wheat) is the source of this 126-nucleotide non-coding RNA. Lineage: Eukaryota; Viridiplantae; Streptophyta; Magnoliopsida; Poales; Poaceae. The record is from Rfam.